Non-coding RNA from Morchella snyderi, 89 nucleotides. The record is from the annotation of a GenBank genome assembly. NCBI's taxonomy places the organism in Eukaryota, Fungi, Ascomycota, Pezizomycetes, Pezizales, Morchellaceae.
GGUUCCAUGGCUCAGUUGGUUAGCGCGUGGUGCUAAUAUUGAAACAAAUGUUAACGCCAAGGUCGAGGGUUCGACCCCCUCUGGAACCA